Molecule: ribosomal RNA, 420 nt
Filed under: bacterium
Lineage: Bacteria
Description: partial 16S ribosomal RNA
Rfam family: Bacterial small subunit ribosomal RNA
Source: RNAcentral
UGGGGGAUAUUGCACAAUGGGCGAAAGCCUGAUGCAGCGACGCCGCGUGGGGGAUGAAGGCUUUCGGGUUGUAAACCUCUUUCGCUAUCGAACAAGGCCCGCUUAGGGUGGGUUGAGGGUAGGUGGAGAAGAAGCGCCGGCUAACUACGUGCCAGCAGCCGCGGUAAUACGUAGGGCGCGAGCGUUGUCCGGAAUUAUUGGGCGUAAAGGGCUUGUAGGCGGCUUGUUGCGCCUGCUGUGAAAACGCGGGGCUUAACCUCGCGCGUGCAGUGGGUACGGGCAGGCUUGAGUAUGGUAGGGGUGACUGGAAUUCCAGGUGUAGCGGUGGAAUGCGCAGAUAUCUGGAGGAACACCGAUGGCGAAGGCAGGUCACUGGGCCAUUACUGACGCUGAGGAGCGAAAGCAUGGGUAGCGAACAGG